AACGAACGCAGGCGGCAUGCCUAACACAUGCAAGUCGAACGAGACCUUCGGGUCUAGUGGCGCACGGGUGCGUAACGCGUGGGAACCUGCCCUUAGGUUCGGAAUAACUCCCCGAAAGGGGUGCUAAUACCGGAUAAUGUCUUCGGACCAAAGAUUUAUCGCCUUUGGAUGGGCCCGCGUUGGAUUAGCUAGUUGGUAGGGUAAAAGCCUACCAAGGCGACGAUCCAUAGCUGGUCUGAGAGGAUGAUCAGCCACACUGGGACUGAGACACGGCCCAGACUCCUACGGGAAGCAGCAGUGGGGAAUAUUGGACAAUGGGCGAAAGCCUGAUCCAGCAAUGCCGCGUGAGUGAUGAAGGCCUUAGGGUUGUAAAGCUCUUUUACCCGGGAUGAUAAUGACAGUACCGGGAGAAUAAGCUCCGGCUAACUCCGUG
Molecule: ribosomal RNA, 433 nt
Filed under: uncultured bacterium
Lineage: Bacteria
Description: partial 16S ribosomal RNA
Rfam family: Bacterial small subunit ribosomal RNA
Source: RNAcentral